UCGGAUAUCAUCAUAUACUGUAA
This 23-nucleotide microRNA is filed under the name Python bivittatus (Burmese python). RNAcentral's name for it is "pbv-miR-144-5p". Its record names the gene pbv-miR-144-5p. Lineage: Eukaryota; Metazoa; Chordata; Lepidosauria; Squamata; Pythonidae. The record is from miRBase by way of RNAcentral.